This 599-nucleotide long non-coding RNA is filed under the name Homo sapiens (human). RNAcentral's name for it is "non-protein coding LINC02458:9". Lineage: Eukaryota; Metazoa; Chordata; Mammalia; Primates; Hominidae. The record is from RNAcentral.
ACUGUGGCAGAAGGAAAGGAAAAAUGGUGAACCACUUCCUGGCUCGAAAAGCUUCUGUGUGGAAGUGACACACAUCUCUUCUGUCUACAUUUCAGAAGGGAUGGGGCCAGGGAUGCUGAGGACACACCAUGUACCCUUUUUCAGGCCAUAUCCAGUAACAGAGUCUACUGCAUCAUAUUAACUGAUAAACCCAGGAUGACAAGAGAAACAUGGGACUCACUCUUCAUUUGCAUUGACUCCAGCUAAGAGCUUCAGUUUUCAUGCUUUGCUUCAGAAUUAUUGUGGUCUGAUGCAGAACUGAAAAGGCCAACACGAGAAUCUUCAAGUACAAUUGCCUGGGAAUCCUGAGGUCUGGACAGCAACACCUGAAUCUGAAUCUCUUUUGGGUUGAAUCAUAAAAGAAAAUAGUAUGGAGAGAUUUAAGGCCAGGCCUCUGGAGAAGGAAUUGAUAAAAUAUGUGGUAGUACCUGCGCUACAGAACAGAAUUCACUUGGAAGUUCUUGGCAUAUAGUAAGCACUCAGUAACUGUCAGUUAUCGCUCUCAUCUCUAUGAAGACUGUAUUUGACAUGACAUCAUCUCCAUAAGAUUCCUGAACUCA